RNAcentral lists this ribosomal RNA (460 nucleotides) under uncultured bacterium. RNAcentral describes it as "partial 16S ribosomal RNA". It matches the Rfam family "Bacterial small subunit ribosomal RNA", at positions 338 to 795 of the family's 1533-position model. The record is from RNAcentral.
CCUACGGGUGGCAGCAGUGAGGAAUAUUGGUCAAUGGACGAGAGUCUGAACCAGCCAAGUAGCGUGAAGGAUGACUGCCCUAUGGGUUGUAAACUUCUUUUAUAUGGGAAUAAAAUGUUCCACGUGUGGGAUUUUGUAUGUACCAUAUGAAUAAGGAUCGGCUAAUUCCGUGCCAGCAGCCGCGGUAAUACGGAGGAUCCGAGCGUUAUCCGGAUUUAUUGGGUUUAAAGGGAGCGUAGGUGGAUUGUUAAGUCAGUUGUGAAAGUUUGCGGCUCAACCGUAAAAUUGCAGUUGAAACUGGCAGUCUUGAGUACAGUAGAGGUGGGCGGAAUUCGUGGUGUAGCGGUGAAAUGCUUAGAUAUCACGAAGAACUCCGAUUGCGAAGGCAGUUCACUGGACUGCAACUGACACUGAGGCUCGAAAGUGUGGGUAUCAAACAGGAUUAGAUACCCUUGUAGUC